RNAcentral lists this long non-coding RNA (1709 nucleotides) under Homo sapiens (human). RNAcentral's name for it is "HSALNT0370430". Lineage: Eukaryota; Metazoa; Chordata; Mammalia; Primates; Hominidae. The record is from RNAcentral.
GAGCCCCGGACCAAACCAUUCCAGCUGCCGACACCCUUGCAGCCUUUUUGGAGCAGGACAGAUGCUUCCACGACGGGUCAAAAGCCAUUUUGGAAGUGGGCAACACCGGACAAUUUUUGAAGGAGGAACGCUAAACCCUGGCGAAGUGGCUUCAAAUACAGUAUUUGCAUAAAAGGGGAUAUUUCUACUUCAUGAUUUCUCAACCUCGGCACAUAUUGAACUGGGCAGUUUUUGUGUGGGGGUUGUCCGGUCCUUGUAGGAUGCUGAGCAGUUGCCCUGGUCUUUCUCCCCACUCAAUGCCAGUAGCACUCCCCAAAACAUGUCUCUCCAGAUAUUGCCAAAUGUCGUCUCGGGGAGAAAAAUCGUCCUCAGUUGAGAACCGCUUCUAUUUGAACUCCGAACCGGGUUAUGAUUCAAUAGCUAACUAUGGUGGUGAUUUAGUCCAUGUAUGAAUGUCAUUUUUAAGCUAGCUUUUUGGAUUUGAGGUUAUGGCUGAAAGGACUGAUAAAUAAUAUACAUAUUUGACCACAGUCUGCGAAUAUGAAGUUUAUUCUUUGAGUUUCAGGCACUAUGCCUCCUUGACUCAAUGAAGAACCAAAUCAACUUACAGCUAGCUACUCAUGGGCUUGAACUUUCUGCUGCUGCUUCAGCUCAGCUGUCUACAACUAGACCACAUAGCUGGAUGAAGCUAUUUAAUGCAUUGUGAAAACAUUCCCUCUGCCCUCUGAGUGUAUGCACAUCCAGCUCUUCAGAUGCCUGCAACAACAGCUGUUCAAGAAUCCCAACCUAAUCCAUUCUCCACAGAUGUGGAGCCCAGAAGAUUUGUGAGUUGUUAAACCAAAACAGGAUGCAGGAGCACCAGGAUGGCACCCGGAGACUCUAACCAUGGAAUGCGUGGGAAUUCUGUGAUUAUUUCUCCAUCACACAUUUAUCACACUGUAGAGAUGGACUCAAGACCAGUGCUUCUGAGGCCUUUUCCAGCACUUCUCAUUCUUUCAGAUGCCUUUUGCAACUUAACGUUCUCCUUCUUCUUCAUCAUGCCGUGUUUAUUGAAAAUCUCCCUAUCUCAUUAAUCAGAAAACCCCAUAAUGACAGGAACCACAUCGUUUUGCUUACCAGAGUAUCUAAAACCAAAAUAGUACCUGGCUAACAACAGGCAUUCAAUAUUUGCUGAAUGGAGAUCAUAGCUGUGUUUAUAUGUAAGACAGACAAUAAGUAGUCAUUGGUAUUAGGGUCACAUCUCCUUUCUCCUUCACACUGAUUUACCUCAUUUCAUUGUGUUUAUCUCACACCAUUUUGUAAAUUAUCCCAUGUUAGCUAUUGUUAUUCUCAAAUUCCACGCAUAUGAAGAAAAACAGUAAUUAGAAAAUAAUAGCAAUAUCCAUAAUUAUGGGAGCUACUAUUUACUGAGGGGUUACUAUCCAGCAGGUGUAUCACAUUUUUCCCAUAAUUUAUUCCAUCUGUCCUUAGCCAAAAUGAAUGUUUAACUUUGCUGGUCACAUACAAGUUUUGUCGCAUAUUCUUCUUCCUCUUUUUCUUUAUUUCCCUCUCUCUCUUCUUCAUUUUCAUCUCGCAACCCUUUAAAAAUGUAAAAAUCAUUCUUAAGUAGCAAGCCAUACAAAAACAAAUCGUGGACUAGAAGUAAACAAUGCAUUAUCUUAAUUUUGAACAUGAGAUUAAAACUGAAGCCUAAGGAAUCAUCUAAUAUA